UGUGAAAAGUUACAUUACCCUGUCGGUAAAUACCUAAUGGAUCACCGUGGAAGAAACGUAAAAGCCAGGAGGGAGAGAAAAGGGUGGGGGAAAGGACAAGCGAUGAGCAGAAGAAACCCCUGGCUGACAGGAGAAGGACAGCUAGAUAGCUGGCGCUGGUACAUGGUUCUCAGAUGCUGGGGAUAUGUCCAAGUGCUUCUUUCAGCGAAGCUCAACUGAAAAAGUUCUUCACCUCUGUGCCUGGAGUUGGAGCUCAAGGUGGAGUGCAUGGCUGAGGCAAAGAGAGUGUGGGGCUCUGCUGAAGAAAAACUUAUCCAUGGCAGGCUGUCACAGUGACCAGACAAGUUAUAGUCAUGAAAUUUUCUGCAGUGGAUAGUUUGAUGGAUCUGAACUGGAAUGACGUUCAGCACAGAAGAGGCAGAAACAAGUGCAGAAAUCUUGGCAGCACUGCUGUUGGCUGUUUGCUGGUGGCGAGGAUAUGGAGACUAAUCGACAGUGGAGUUCAGGACACGACAAGGAGCAGAGACGUUUUCACCUUCCUGUGUUUCUACUGUUCACCACUAAUGGUUUCAGUAACAUUUCCACCAGCACUCCCAAGAACCCAGCUGCUUUGGUGAUCCCUUACUAGUGAUGUAGGCAUCAGUAACGCAGCCAAGCAGUCAAGAUUUUAAGAAACAAAAUCCAACCAGAAACCUGGAAAACUGGAGACUCAAAGUUAAUUGUUCCCCAUCAUUUCAUGCACCAUUUUCUUUUUUUUUUUUUUUUACACUGGCCAUGCAAAGUUUAUUCAAAUAUGUUCUAUUCUUUGACGGAAAAUUGACAGUGAUGAAAUUCUCAGUCAUGCCAAACACAAACAAAAAAGGUAAAUACAUAGUGGGAAUACAAUGUUAUUAAACCUCUUCUGUUUUCAAGAUUUACUACACUUCAGCAAGCAAAUUCAGCAAAACCAUGUAGAUUAAUUUUUGUCUGUGUUUAGUUUUUGGAUUCUGACCAACCUCUAGCAAUAUAAAAUGAAUCCAAAUAAGAUGCUACUGUGUACUAACUACACAGUUAACUUAAUUCUGUACAAAAUUUCCAGCUAAGUGCUUAAAUCAUAACACAACAACUUAUCAUUCUAUAUGAAGCAAGUAUCAGAGAAGAAAAACUAUUUUUAAACUAGUUGCACUGAUUUCAACACAUUUUAGAGCAGGCCUUAUUUUCAUAAACUUCACAAGUUAAUAUGCUAUUUUUAUGAGAGAUAAUAAUCAGGAUUAUGUGGAAAGAUUUUGGCACAGUAACACAUACAGUAAAACAAUUCUCAAAAUACUAGUCAUUAUUCUCAAUUAUGUUUCCUAUUUGAUUGUUAAAAGCCAAUCUUGUUGACCCAGCAAUAUACACUUGGCUUUGCAGCCACUGUUGCUGCUUAGUAAUGUCUUGGGAAAUCCUAUGCCUUUGAAACUCUAUGCAAAUCAUCUAAAAGGAGCCAAUGUUAACACUCAGGCUGAAUUAGAAAAUAGGAAAAUACACGAAGUAAGUAGUUUAAGGACAAAGUUGUCUCUAGCUAAAAUUAAGCACUGAUUCACAGUGACAUUAUGAAAACACUAAGCUGUACAUUAAAAUUCCUAAACAUUGCUGCUAUUCACAACAGGCCAAUGCAAACAUUCGUUACUUCUGUGUCUGAGAGUGAAUUUGUAAGUUAGGAAAAUGAUGUCAGUAUAAAAGAAUUCAAAACUAAUUUUAUCUGAUUGGCAAGUGAGUUCAAGUACUGAGAUACUAAAUAAAUAUUUGACAGCACCAUUCCAUAGUAUAAUUUAUUUCACAUAUGCACUAAAUUAAAAGGAAAGCUUUUCUAAACUGCAAGCAAUUUCCAGGCAAACCACUAAGCAGGAUGAUGGUGAUGACUGCCAUUGUGUCAUGGUAGAGCACCUUCUUACCCUUGCAAAGGUCACCAGAGUUUUGAGCAAAUAAUCAAAAUCACAAGGCAGAGAACAGUACAGUAGGUCCACUUUUGUCACACUUGUGACAGGGAAUUUAAAUUUAUACCACUGAGCACUUCUGCUCAUGGGGGAAGAGGAAACAAUGCUGAAUGCCUGACCUUGUAUUUGUGUCAGUAGGACUACCACUGUGCAUAAGGAGUUCAGAGCUUUGCCUAGCAGUGGGCAUUGCUGGGAAAAUUCAUUCCAGCAUGAAUGGAGGGGCUGUUGUUAAGAUCCUGUUUAAAUCUAUGAUGUGUCCCAGUGAGUGUGUGGAAAUGUGUUAUUCAUGUAACAACCAGGACUCAGAAGCACAUGAUGGCACAGGGACAGACACAAGAGGUAUGGAAGAACUGGUAGACUUGACGCCCAAACAGACCCGAGGCUCAGAAAUCCUUUCAAAGAGGAGUCUGAGAUACAGUGUGCACCAUUUUUUUUGUUGUUUGCUGAAAUGGAAGUUGCAGAUGCAGUACACUUUUGGGUCCCCACAGUUUUGGAAAGGGCAGGUCUCUUCAGUGGUUCCUACCAAAGCAGAGCUUUUACAAAAAGCUUUGUUACUUAAGACUCAAGCAACGAAGGAAGAAUUUCACAUCAUUACAAGGAUAUAGAGCUGUAUUUUUAAUACUGUAAUUAUGGAGAUGGAAAAUCAAACUGGCUUAGACCUUGCUGAAAUGUUAGGGUCAAAGUUAGAACUGAAAUUCCCUCAAAUUGGAGACAAUUAUGCAGAAAUUUUAUUUAAAGCCCCACAGAGACAAUAAAUAGCUGAAAAGUUCAGCUGGUUUAUAUCCCAGAGGACUUAUCAAGGGAAAGGUUCAUAAAUAAUUAUGAGAAAAUAUAGGUAAUACUUAAGUCAAAUACAAGCCUUACCUAUAUGUAAUACCAUAUGUUUUUAAAGUUCCACAAUGUACAUGCUACUACAAUGUUUUGGAUGUUAAGUGCAAAACAAAAAGCACUCAUUAAUGGUUACACUUACAAAACAAUCACAAAAAAAAAAAAUCUGUGCUUUUUUCCCCAUUACAGAAAAAUGAGGAGAGUUGUAGACAUCUAUUUAUCAAAUAACCCAAAAGAAGCAAAAUGGAAAUGAAAACUCUAUACGGUGAGACUAAAUUCAGAAAGACAUUUUUCCUUUUUUUAUAGUACAUCUUACAUUUCCUGCUUCAUUCUCUUCCAUAACUUAGA
Athene cunicularia (burrowing owl) is the source of this 3131-nucleotide long non-coding RNA. RefSeq lists it as uncharacterized. NCBI's taxonomy places the organism in Eukaryota, Metazoa, Chordata, Aves, Strigiformes, Strigidae. The transcript is spliced from 4 exons. The record is from RefSeq and is a predicted model, not a curated record.